This 1105-nucleotide ribosomal RNA is filed under the name Peribacillus simplex. Its description in RNAcentral is "partial 23S ribosomal RNA". It matches the Rfam family "Bacterial large subunit ribosomal RNA", at positions 1771 to 2874 of the family's 2925-position model. Lineage: Bacteria; Bacillati; Bacillota; Bacilli; Caryophanales; Bacillaceae. The record is from RNAcentral. RNAcentral also lists the same sequence under 1 other name.
GAAAAGCCGCAGUGAAUAGGCCCAGGCGACUGUUUAGCAAAAACACAGGUCUCUGCGAAGCCGCAAGGCGAAGUAUAGGGGCUGACACCUGCCCGGUGCUGGAAGGUUAAGGGGAGAGGUUAGCGCAAGCGAAGCUUUGAACCGAAGCCCCAGUAAACGGCGGCCGUAACUAUAACGGUCCUAAGGUAGCGAAAUUCCUUGUCGGGUAAGUUCCGACCCGCACGAAAGGUGUAACGAUCUGGGCACUGUCUCAACGAGAGACUCGGUGAAAUUAUAGUACCUGUGAAGAUGCAGGUUACCCGCGACAGGACGGAAAGACCCCGUGGAGCUUUACUGCAGCCUGAUAUUGAAUUUUGGUACAGCUUGUACAGGAUAGGUAGGAGCCUGAGAAGCCGGAGCGCUAGCUUCGGUGGAGGCGUUGGUGGGAUACUACCCUGGCUGUAUUGAAAUUCUAACCCGCGCCCCUUAUCGGGGUGGGAGACAGUGUCAGGUGGGCAGUUUGACUGGGGCGGUCGCCUCCUAAAGAGUAACGGAGGCGCCCAAAGGUUCCCUCAGAAUGGUUGGAAAUCAUUCGUAGAGUGUAAAGGCACAAGGGAGCUUGACUGCGAGACCUACAAGUCGAGCAGGGACGAAAGUCGGGCUUAGUGAUCCGGUGGUUCCGCAUGGAAGGGCCAUCGCUCAACGGAUAAAAGCUACCCCGGGGAUAACAGGCUUAUCUCCCCCAAGAGUCCACAUCGACGGGGAGGUUUGGCACCUCGAUGUCGGCUCAUCGCAUCCUGGGGCUGUAGUCGGUCCCAAGGGUUGGGCUGUUCGCCCAUUAAAGCGGUACGCGAGCUGGGUUCAGAACGUCGUGAGACAGUUCGGUCCCUAUCCGUCGCGGGCGCAGGAAAUUUGAGAGGAGCUGUCCUUAGUACGAGAGGACCGGGAUGGACGCACCGCUGGUGUACCAGUUGUCUUGCCAAAGGCAUAGCUGGGUAGCUACGUGCGGACGGGAUAAGUGCUGAAAGCAUCUAAGCAUGAAGCCCCCCUCAAGAUGAGAUUUCCCAUGGCGCAAGCUAGUAAGAUCCCUGAAAGAUGAUCAGGUUGAUAGGUCAGAGGUGGAAGC